UACCGUGAGUCGUUAACCUGCAAAAGUGGUUAUUUGCAAGGGUGAGCUCGACAGCCCAACAAUUCUAACAGUUUUCAUGUAGCACAUAGCAUAUAAUAGCAUAUUCAGUUCAUGCAUUCAUAAUCAAUUAAUAUUUAGUACACAUGUUACUUCUCACAUAACAAGCAUAGAGGUUUAUAUCACAAGCAUAUCAUCAAAGAUCAACUUUCACAUUUCAUACAUAUCUCAUAUGCAUUUCAUAUAUAUACAUCAACAUUUGCAUCGCAUAAUAUAGC
RNAcentral lists this long non-coding RNA (275 nucleotides) under Panax ginseng (ginseng). RNAcentral's name for it is "long non-coding RNA (PGIN_LNC010718)". Lineage: Eukaryota; Viridiplantae; Streptophyta; Magnoliopsida; Apiales; Araliaceae. The record is from RNAcentral.